RNAcentral lists this ribosomal RNA (254 nucleotides) under uncultured bacterium. Its description in RNAcentral is "partial 16S ribosomal RNA". It matches the Rfam family "Bacterial small subunit ribosomal RNA", at positions 524 to 776 of the family's 1533-position model. The record is from RNAcentral.
UACGGAGGGAGGCUAGCGUUGUUCGGAAUUACUGGGCGUAAAGCGCGCGUAGGCGGUUUUUUAAGUCAGAGGUGAAAGCCCAGUGCUCAACACUGGAACUGCCUUUGAAACUGGAAAACUUGAAUCUUGGAGAGGUCAGUGGAAUUCCGAGUGUAGAGGUGAAAUUCGUAGAUAUUCGGAAGAACACCAGUGGCGAAGGCGACUGACUGGACAAGUAUUGACGCUGAGGUGCGAAAGCGUGGGGAGCAAACAGG